AUUGAACGCUGGCGGCAGGCCUAACACAUGCAAGUCGAGCGAGUGGCGGACGGGUGAGUAAUGUCUGGGGAACUGCCCGAUGGAGGGGGAUAACUACUGGAAACGGUAGCUAAUACCGCAUACUAUCGGAUGUGCCCAGAUGGGAUUAGCUUGUUGGUGGGGUAAAGGCUCACCUAGGCGACGAUCUCUAGCUGGUCUGAGAGGAUGACCAGCCACACUGUAACUGAGACACGGCCCAGACUCCUACGGGAGGCAGCAGUGGGGAAUAUUGCACAAUGGGCGCAAGCCUGAUGCAGCCAUGCCGCGUGUAUGAAGAAGGCCUUAGGGUUGUAAAGUACUUUCAGCGGGGAGGCGUUACCCGCAGAAGAAGCACCGGCUAACUCCGUGCCAGCCGCCGCGGUAAUAC
This 406-nucleotide ribosomal RNA is filed under the name uncultured bacterium. RNAcentral describes it as "partial 16S ribosomal RNA". It matches the Rfam family "Bacterial small subunit ribosomal RNA", at positions 30 to 526 of the family's 1533-position model. The record is from RNAcentral.